AGCAGCCGCGGUAAUUCCAGCUCCAAUAGCGUAUAUUAAAGUUGUUGCAGUUAAAAAGCUCGUAGUUGAAUUUCGGAAUCAGUAUGUUGGUCGUGCUUCGGUACGUACUGUCAUUACUGGUUUCUACCUUCUGAAGAACCUUGAUGUCAUUAAUUUGGUGUCUUGGGGGAAUCAGGACUGU
This 181-nucleotide unclassified non-coding RNA is filed under the name uncultured Glomus. Its description in RNAcentral is "sequence contains 18S rRNA gene". It matches the Rfam family "Eukaryotic small subunit ribosomal RNA", at positions 569 to 752 of the family's 1831-position model. Lineage: Eukaryota; Fungi; Glomeromycota; Glomeromycetes; Glomerales; Glomeraceae. The record is from RNAcentral.